This 253-nucleotide ribosomal RNA is filed under the name uncultured bacterium. RNAcentral describes it as "partial 16S ribosomal RNA". It matches the Rfam family "Bacterial small subunit ribosomal RNA", at positions 524 to 776 of the family's 1533-position model. The record is from RNAcentral.
UACGUAGGGGGCUAGCGUUGUCCGGAAUCAUUGGGCGUAAAGCGCGCGUAGGCGGCCCGGUAAGUCCGCUGUAAAAGUCAAAGGCUCAACCUUUGAAUGUCAGUGGAUACUGCCGGGCUAGAGUCCGGAAGAGGCGAGUGGAACUCCUGGUGUAGCGGUGGAAUGCGCAGAUAUCAGGAAGAACACCGACGGCGAAGGCAGCUCGCUGGGACGGUACUGGCGCUGAGGCGCGAAAGCGUGGGGAGCGAACAGG